Molecule: ribosomal RNA, 711 nt
Filed under: uncultured bacterium
Lineage: Bacteria
Description: bacterial SSU rRNA
Rfam family: Bacterial small subunit ribosomal RNA
Source: RNAcentral
CGGGUGAGUAACGCGUAGGGAACCUGGCCCUUACAGGGGGAUAACAGAUGGAAACAACUGCUAAUACCGCAUAAGCGCCCAGCCUCGCAUGAGGCAGAGUGAAAAACUAAGGUGGUAAGGGAUGGCCCUGCGUCCGAUUAGCUAGUUGGUAUGGUAACGGCAUACCAAGGCGACGAUCGGUAGCCGGCCUGAGAGGGUGGACGGCCACAUUGGGACUGAGACACGGCCCAAACUCCUACGGGAGGCAGCAGUGGGGGAUAUUGCACAAUGGGGGAAACCCUGAUGCAGCGACACCGCGUGGGUGAAGAAGCACUUCGGCGUGUAAAGCCCUAUCAGUGGGGAAGAAAAAGGACGGUACCCAAAGAAGAAGCACCGGCUAAAUACGUGCCAGCAGCCGCGGUAAUACGUAUGGUGCAAGCGUUAUCCGGAAUGACUGGGUGUAAAGGGAGCGUAGACGGUUGUACAAGUCUGAUGUGAAAGCCCACGGCUCAACUGUGGGAGUGCAUUGGAAACUGUAGAACUAGAGUAUCGGAGAGGCAAGUGGAAUUCCUAGUGUAGCGGUGAAAUGCGUAGAUGUUAGGAGGAACACCAGUGGCGAAGGCGGCUUGCUGGACGAAAACUGACGUUGAGGCUCGAAAGCGUGGGGAGCAAACAGGAUUAGAUACCCUGGUAGUCCACGCUGUAAACGAUGAAUACUAGGUGUUGGGGCCC